RNAcentral lists this ribosomal RNA (279 nucleotides) under uncultured bacterium. RNAcentral's name for it is "partial 16S ribosomal RNA". It matches the Rfam family "Bacterial small subunit ribosomal RNA", at positions 506 to 784 of the family's 1533-position model. The record is from RNAcentral.
UGCCAGCCGCCGCGGUAAUACGGAGGGUGCAAGCGUUGCUCGGAAUUACUGGGCGUAAAGCGCACGCAGGCGGCUUGAUAAGUCGGAUGUGAAAGCCCGGAGCUCAACUCCGGAACUGCAUUCGAUACUGUCUCGCUUGAGUACGAGAGAGGGUGGUGGAAUUCCUGGUGUAGAGGUGAAAUUCGUUGAUAUCAGGAGGAACACCGGCGGCGAAGGCAUCUCUCUGGGUCGAUAUUGACGCUGAGGCGCGAAGGCGUGGGUAGCGAACGGGAUUAGAUA